UCGCGGCACGGAAAACCCCAUCCGGAGCAAGGCCAAAUAGGGAAGCAGCGGGGCGACCCGCGCGUGCGGUCCGCACGGCUUCCGGGUAGGCCGCUUGAGGCGCGCGGCGACGCGCGUCCCAGAGGAAUGGCUGUCCACGACAGAACCCGGCUUACAGGCCGGCUCCUUUU
This 170-nucleotide RNase P RNA is filed under the name Gammaproteobacteria bacterium. RNAcentral describes it as "partial RNase P RNA component class A". It matches the Rfam family "Bacterial RNase P class A", at positions 196 to 367 of the family's 367-position model. Rfam says of the family: Ribonuclease P (RNase P) is a ubiquitous endoribonuclease, found in archaea, bacteria and eukarya as well as chloroplasts and mitochondria. Its best characterised activity is the generation of mature 5'-ends of tRNAs by cleaving the 5'-leader elements of precursor-tRNAs. Cellular RNase Ps are ribonucleoproteins. The record is from RNAcentral. Lineage: Bacteria; Pseudomonadati; Pseudomonadota; Gammaproteobacteria.